Molecule: transfer RNA, 64 nt
Filed under: Kokeshia sp. NKU02
Lineage: Eukaryota; Metazoa; Arthropoda; Insecta; Hemiptera; Schizopteridae
Description: tRNA-Pro
Source: RNAcentral
CAAAAGGUAGUUUAAUAGAAAAUAUUAAUUUUGGAGAUUAAAGUUAUUUAUAGUUUCCUUUUGA